Molecule: ribosomal RNA, 432 nt
Filed under: uncultured bacterium
Lineage: Bacteria
Description: bacterial SSU rRNA
Rfam family: Bacterial small subunit ribosomal RNA
Source: RNAcentral
UGAGGAAUAUUGGUCAAUGGGCAAAAGCCUGAACCAGCCAAGUCGCGUGAGGGAAGACGGUCCUAUGGAUUGUAAACCUCUUUUGUCGGGGAGCAACGACGCCACGUGUGGCGGAAGGGAGAGUACCCGAAGAAAAAGCAUCGGCUAACUCCGUGCCAGCAGCCGCGGUAAUACGGAGGAUGCGAGCGUUAUCCGGAUUUAUUGGGUUUAAAGGGUGCGUAGGCGGAACGUUAAGUCAGCGGUAAAAUUGCGGGGCUCGACCCUGUACCGCCGUUGAAACUGGCGUUCUAGAGUGGGCGAGAAGUAUGCGGAAUGCGAGGUGUAGCGGUGAAAUGUAUAGAUAUCACGCAGAACUCCGAUUGCGAAGGCAGCAUACCGGCGCCCAACUGACGCUGAGGCACGAAAGCGUGGGGAUCGAACAGGAUUAGUACC